GGCAGCAGUGGGGAAUAUUGCACAAUGGGGGAAACCCUGAUGCAGUCCAUGCCGUCGUGUGUGUAAGUAAGGCCUUCGGGUUGUAAAGCACUUUCAGUAGGGAGGAAGGUAGUGUAGUUAACACCUGCAUUAUUUGACGUUACCUACAGAAGAAGCACCGGCUAACUCCGUGCCAGCAGCCGCGGUAAUACGGAGGGUGCGAGCGUUUAAUCGGAAUUACUGGGCGUAAAGCGCAUGCAGGCGGCCUGUUAAGUCAGAUGUGAAAGCCCGGGGCUUAACCUCGGAAUUGCAUUUUGAAACUGGCAGGCUAGAGUCUUGUAGAGGGGGUAGAAUUUCAGGUGUAGCGGUGAAAUGCGUAGAGAUCUGAAGGAAUACCAGUGGCGAAGGCGGCCCCCUGGACAAAGACUGACGCUCAGAUGCGAAAGCGUGGGGAGCAAACAGGAUUAGAUACCCUGGUAG
RNAcentral lists this ribosomal RNA (459 nucleotides) under uncultured bacterium. RNAcentral's name for it is "bacterial SSU rRNA". It matches the Rfam family "Bacterial small subunit ribosomal RNA", at positions 347 to 793 of the family's 1533-position model. The record is from RNAcentral.